Molecule: regulatory RNA element, 58 nt
Rfam family: pemK RNA
Source: Rfam
AUAAUGAUACUUCCCUAUGGGGCUGGCGGAGUACCCGGCAGAGGUGAGAUUCCUAUGA